This 719-nucleotide long non-coding RNA is filed under the name Lepidothrix coronata (blue-crowned manakin). RNAcentral's name for it is "lncRNA (ENSLCOG00000003786.1)". Lineage: Eukaryota; Metazoa; Chordata; Aves; Passeriformes; Pipridae. The record is from RNAcentral.
AGCUCUUGUGUUUUCAGAAACGAAUUAUUUUCAGGAAUAUUUCUAGUGGGAAAAUACCAAUGAUGAAAUGUUGAUGGAAGAAAUUGAAUGGGACUCAGCAUGAGUACAAAAGGAAGGGGUCUCUUCAAGCAAACUGAUUCUGAGUUGGCAAGAUGUCGAUCCAUACUGAGUAAGAAGAAGGAGCAAUGAUACAUUUUAUGAAGUUUUAAAAUGACAGAUUGUCCAUUCUUACCUAGUUAAGCUUAUAGUGUUACCUACCAAUUAGAGACUUCUCCCUCUGGUACUUACAGCACUUGAGCUAAAUUUUAUCUCUAUUGUCUUGUGGUUCUUUUCUUAUUUAGUCUUGCAUGUUUUUGCUUUCUACAGUCCCAUUUGGGGAAACAUCUGUCCUUUGUGAGGAUGCCAGUACAGUUAUAGCCACUGACACUAUACAUGACCAGAGGCUCCAGUUUCUGGCAUCUCUUUCUAUUCAAUUUCUUCAGAUUAUCUGUAAAUUUUCAAUAAUGGCAAUACAUUCAUUCUGCCAUUUGGAGGAGCCUGUGCCACAGAAUAAUGAUCUGAAGAAAGCUCACUUAUUUGCAAGGAAGAGUCUUCAUUUGGGAAUUAGCACCGAUGCAGCUAAGAGGUGCUUCCUCAAGUUCAGCAGAACUGUUAUUGUUUCACCUCUGGUACAUGGACAAAACUGGGUUUUCUUCAUAGUUCAGGAUUCCUGUACCUGA